CCUACGGGGCGCAGCAGUGGGGAAUCUUCCGCAAUGGGCGAAAGCCUGACCCAGCAAUGCCGCGUGAAGGAAGAAGGCUUUCGGGUUGUAAACUUCUUUGACAGGGGAAGAGCAGAAGACGGUACCCUGAAAACAAGCCACGGCUAACUACGUGCCAGCAGCCGCGGUAAUACGUAGGUGGCAAGCGUUGUCCGGAUUUACUGGGUGUAAAGGGCGUGUAGCCGGGAAGGCAAGUCAGAUGUGAAAUCUGGAGGCUCAACCUCCAAAUUGCAUUUGAAACUGUUUUUCUUGAGUACUGGAGAGGCAGACGGAAUUCCUUGUGUAGCGGUGAAAUGCGUAGAUAUAAGGAGGAACACCAGUGGCGAAGGCGGUCUGCUGGACAGCAACUGACGGUGAGGCGCGAAAGCGUGGGGAGCAAACAGGAUUAGAUACCCCUGUAGUC
This 442-nucleotide ribosomal RNA is filed under the name uncultured bacterium. RNAcentral's name for it is "partial 16S ribosomal RNA". It matches the Rfam family "Bacterial small subunit ribosomal RNA", at positions 338 to 795 of the family's 1533-position model. The record is from RNAcentral.